ACGGGGGGGGCAAGCGUUGUUCAGAAUUACUGGGCGUAAAGGGCGUGUAGGCGGCCUAGCAAGUCAGCUGUGAAAGCCCCAGGCUCAACCUGGGAAUUGCAUCUGAAACUGCCGGGCUAGAGUUCAGGAGAGGAGGGCGGAACUCCCAGUGUAGCGGUGAAAUGCGUAGAUAUUGGGAGGAACACCGGUGGCGAAGGCGGCUCUCUGGACUGAAACUGACGCUGAGGCGCGAAAGCCAGGGGAGCGAACGGGA
This 253-nucleotide ribosomal RNA is filed under the name uncultured prokaryote. RNAcentral's name for it is "partial 16S ribosomal RNA". It matches the Rfam family "Bacterial small subunit ribosomal RNA", at positions 525 to 777 of the family's 1533-position model. The record is from RNAcentral.